UUUUGUAGGAAAGUUUGAGUGUGAAUGCAAGAAAGUUGAAAAGUGGGUGUGAUUUUUCUUUCCCUAGCCAUACACGUAUCCACCCCAAAUUUUCCACAUCUCUUAUCUCUUUUGCUGCCCCAAAAGUCUUCUCCUUGCCUUAUUUUCUUGGCUGCAUCAGAUCAAAAUUUCAGCCCCUCUUUCCCUACUCUUUUCCUUGUUCUUUGUUUCUUUCUUCUCCCCUUCUUACAUGGCAGCCCUCCCUCUCUCACCAAAGCAAAAUAUCCCUCUCUAAAGAAGAAAUUAAAGAGUUAACACUAAAAUUUCAGCUUCAAAUUGUUGGGGGUGUUACCAGUAUCUAAGUCUAAGCUCCUUCAACUAUAGGCUCUCAGUUCCUCUGCUUUCAAGUAAGGGAUAAGUUAUAUGGGCAUUUGGUUAUGUCCUCUGGUAAUCUGAACUCUGUCAGCAAGGGUUAAUUACUGUCUUUCCAUGGAAAAUGUUAUAUGAUUGGCCAUUAAGUGGGACUGGCUCUGCUGUACCCGCCCCUUGUUAGUUACGGCCAACUUGUGGGGGAAACCAACCUACUCCCAUGGUUGGAAGAUAUGUAUUAUGAUGUGAUCCUGGGAAUACCUGGUAUUGUGGAGAAUGCUGGAUGCUUAGCACCGUGGUGCUAGAAGCCUCCCAAAUAAGUACAAACUUAUUAGAUAUAGGCUAUCCAAUAAGUUAUUUAUGAACAGUUAUAUUAUAUUAUUAAUCAUGAGAGAAUGAUUUUGUUUAAAUGCAUUAUGAAAAGUUAAAAGCUCUCAUGAAAAGAAGUUUCUGAUAAAAAGAAAAGUUGUUCAUUAAAGAUAAAAGUUUCUGAAGUUCUGUUGUACUAUAAAAAUAAAGUUUCUGAUGAAAGUACAAGUUUACGUUUAAAAGUUAUCAGAUAUAUGUUUUUAUGAAACGUUAAGUUUUAUGACCAUGAAAAAUAUAGCAUUUUAUGAGAAGAAGUUUAUAAAGAAAAGUUUUCUUAUUAGUCAAGAUAUUUCUAGUUUAAUACAAAGUUGCCCAUUAUCUGAUUUAAGUUAAAAUAAUUAUUUUGUAAUGAGAAUAUAUAUAUGGCGACUUUGUAGGAAAUGAAAGAAAUUUAAUCCGAAAGGUUUUGGUAAUAUUAAACCGAUAAGAAAAAUGAGAGCAAUUAUUUUCUAUGAAGAGUGUAUAAGCUAUUAUUAUGAAUAGUAUAAAAUACUAUGCAUGAAAAGAUGUUCUCCUGUUCGAAUAUUCAUAGAAUGAAAUGAUUUGAUUUACAUGCAUCCUUAUUGAAUUCUCAUAUAUCUUACAUUUACUGAGCUGUGUAGCUCACCCCUUCCACUCUUUCAGUUAGCAGGUUUUAUUUUGGAGCAGAGGGAGCCUUAGUCAAGUUUUGGAAGGAGCUGGUUUUAGUUUUAUAUGUAUAGAUCCUAAAUUUAGCAAUAUGAUGUUUAGAUUUGUAGUAUUGUGUAUUUUAGGAUCUAAUGAAAGUGUAUACCUUAAAGUAUUAAGAGAUGUAUUAUGUGAAAUUCUGAAUUUGAACAAUUGGUGGAUUAUGUCAA
Long non-coding RNA from Quercus robur (English oak), 1553 nucleotides. RefSeq lists it as uncharacterized. The record is from RefSeq and is a predicted model, not a curated record. The transcript has 3 exons. Lineage: Eukaryota; Viridiplantae; Streptophyta; Magnoliopsida; Fagales; Fagaceae.